AUACAUCACUACCCAUGUGGUCGUCUUUGGAGGUAUCCUCCCCUCAUUUGCAACCCCAUCAACCUCAAAUUCCCCCUUCUUCUGUUUCUUCAACAAAUUCGCAAACCCAAUAUAGUUUAUGAACUUAAGCAAGAUGAAGAUAAGAGUUGUUCAGCUCUUUGAACUUCAGCAAGACAAAGACUUCAAAGCAUCAUUUUUUGUCUUAUCAUCUAUAGUAAUAUAAUUGGUUACCGAUUACCAUGUCAUUGCUAAAUUAGCUACUGAUCAAAGUGGACUGCAGCAUUGUAAGGUUUCUUUAGUGACUGCUAAAGGAGAAAGCAUAGCUAAGGGAGCGAAGAUCGUAGGUGUUGAUCCAGCAUAUGAUCUGGCUUUUCUCAAG
This is a non-coding RNA of Nicotiana tabacum (common tobacco), 379 nucleotides long. Lineage: Eukaryota; Viridiplantae; Streptophyta; Magnoliopsida; Solanales; Solanaceae. The record is from RefSeq and is a predicted model, not a curated record.